AGUGUGUUAGUAGAACAGGUUAGUGAACUCAGGACCAGCUGGAUGAGGGGACUGAGGCUUCAGUGUGUUAGUAGAACAGGUUAGUGAACUCAGGACCAGCUGGAUGAGGGGACUGAGGCUUCAGUGUGUUAGUAGAACAGGUUAGUGAACUCAGGACCAGCUGGAUGAGGGGACUGAGGCUUCAGUGUGUUAGUAGAACAGGUUAGUGAACUCAGGACCAGCUGGAUGAGGGGACUGAGGCUUCAGUGUGUUAGUAGAACAGGUUAGUGAACUCAGGACCAGCUGGAUGAGGGGACUGAGGCUUCAGUGUGUUAGUAGAACAGGUUAGUGAACUCAGGACCAGCUGGAUGAGGGGACUGAGGCUUCAGUGUGUUAGUAGAACAGGUUAGUGAACUCAGCCCCAGGACCAGCUGGAUGAGGGGACUGAGGCUUCAGUGUGUUAGUAGAACAGGUUUGUGAACUCAGCCCCAGGACCAGCUGGAUGAGGGGACUGAGGCUUCAGUGUGUUAGUAGAACAGGUUAGUGAACUCAGCCCCAGGACCAGCUGGAUGAGGGGACUGAGGCUUCAGUGUGUUAGUAGAACAGGUUAGUGAACUCAGGACCAGCUGGAUGAGGGGACUGAGGCUUCAGUGUGUUAGUAGAACAGGUUAGUGAACUCAGGACCAGCUGGAUGAGGGGACUGAGGCUUCAGUGUGUUAGUAGAACAGGUUAGUGAACUCAGGACCAGCUGGAUGAGGGGACUGAGGCUUCAGUGUGUUAGUAGAACAGGUUAGUGAACUCAGGACCAGCUGGAUGAGGGGACUGAGGCUUCAGUGUGUUAGUAGAACAGGUUAGUGAACUCAGGACCAGCUGGAUGAGGGGACUGAGGCUUCAGUGUGUUAGUAGAACAGGUUAGUGAACUCAGGACCAGCUGGAUGAGGGGACUGAGGCUUCAGUGUGUUAGUAGAACAGGUUAGUGAACUCAGGACCAGCUGGAUGAGGGGACUGAGGCUUCAGUGUGUUAGUAGA
Long non-coding RNA from Oncorhynchus keta (chum salmon), 1008 nucleotides. RefSeq lists it as uncharacterized. NCBI's taxonomy places the organism in Eukaryota, Metazoa, Chordata, Actinopteri, Salmoniformes, Salmonidae. The record is from RefSeq and is a predicted model, not a curated record. The transcript is spliced from 6 exons.